Pistacia vera is the source of this 90-nucleotide small nucleolar RNA. RefSeq annotates it as small nucleolar RNA Z221/R21b. The transcript has a single exon. The record is from RefSeq and is a predicted model, not a curated record. NCBI's taxonomy places the organism in Eukaryota, Viridiplantae, Streptophyta, Magnoliopsida, Sapindales, Anacardiaceae.
GGGCAGUGAUGAAUUAUUUGAGACAGUCAUGCACCACUCUGAGUGACUAAGUGCUGAUAACUAUCUCACACCCAUUUCACAUCUGAGCCC